Molecule: non-coding RNA, 29 nt
Filed under: Homo sapiens (human)
Lineage: Eukaryota; Metazoa; Chordata; Mammalia; Primates; Hominidae
Source: RNAcentral
UGCCGAGCUCACAUUUUGCGACUAGAGCA